RNAcentral lists this ribosomal RNA (253 nucleotides) under uncultured bacterium. RNAcentral's name for it is "partial 16S ribosomal RNA". It matches the Rfam family "Bacterial small subunit ribosomal RNA", at positions 524 to 776 of the family's 1533-position model. The record is from RNAcentral.
UACGAAGGGUGCAAGCGUUACUCGGAAUUACUGGGCGUAAAGCGUGCGUAGGUGGUUCGUUAAGUCUGAUGUGAAAGCCCUGGGCUCAACCUGGGAAUGGCAUUGGAAACUGGCGACCUAGAGUGCGGUAGAGGGUAGUGGAAUUCCCGGUGUAGCAGUGAAAUGCGUAGAGAUGUGGAGGAACACCAAUUGCGAAGGCAGCUGGGUAAAAGAAUAUUGACACUGAAGCACGAAAGCGUGGGGAUCAAACAGG